RNAcentral lists this ribosomal RNA (253 nucleotides) under uncultured bacterium. RNAcentral's name for it is "partial 16S ribosomal RNA". It matches the Rfam family "Bacterial small subunit ribosomal RNA", at positions 524 to 776 of the family's 1533-position model. The record is from RNAcentral.
UACGUAGGGUGCAAGCGUUGUCCGGAAUUAUUGGGCGUAAAGAGCUCGUAGGCGGUCUGUUACGUCUGCUGUGAAAACCCAGGGCUUAACCCUGGGCUUGCAGUGGAUACGGGCAGACUAGAGGCAGGUAGGGGAGAAUGGAAUUCCCGGUGUAGCGGUGAAAUGCGCAGAUAUCGGGAGGAACACCGGUGGCGAAGGCGGUUCUCUGGGCCGGACCUGACGCUGAGGAGCGAAAGCGUGGGGAGCGAACAGG